Molecule: ribosomal RNA, 557 nt
Filed under: Pyxis planicauda
Lineage: Eukaryota; Metazoa; Chordata; Testudines; Testudinidae
Description: partial 16S small subunit ribosomal RNA
Rfam family: Bacterial large subunit ribosomal RNA
Source: RNAcentral
AGCCCCCAGCAAAAUACAAGUAUUGGGGGUAAUGCCUGCCCAGUGACACUGUUAAACGGCCGCGGUAUCCUAACCGUGCAAAGGUAGCGUAAUCACUUGUCUUUUAAAUAAAGACUAGAAUGAAUGGCCAAACGAGGCUCUACCUGUCUCUCACAAAUAAUCAGUGAAAUUGAUCUUCCUGUGCAAAAGCAGGAAUAAUAUUAUAAGACGAGAAGACCCUGUGGAACUUCAAAUAUAAAAUCAACUGUUACCAAUACCAACUCAACAGACCUAUAAUAAACAGAAUCUGAUUUUUAUUUUAGGUUGGGGCGACCUUGGAGUAAAACAAAACCUCCAAAAAUAAAGAAUUCUUUUAACCUAGAACUACAACUCAAAGUGCUUCCAGCAAAACGAUCCAAUAUAUUUGAUCAACGAACCAAGCUACCCCAGGGAUAACAGCGCAAUCCCAUUUUAGAGUCCCUAUCGACAAUGGGGUUUACGACCUCGAUGUUGGAUCAGGACAUCCUGAUGGUGCAGCCGCUAUCAAGGGUUCGUUUGUUCAACGAUUAACAGUACCU